RNAcentral lists this small RNA (2678 nucleotides) under Pan troglodytes (chimpanzee). Its description in RNAcentral is "retained intron". Lineage: Eukaryota; Metazoa; Chordata; Mammalia; Primates; Hominidae. The record is from RNAcentral.
ACCUCAGCCUCCUGAGUAGCUGGGACCACAGGUGCGUGCCACCAUGCCCAGUUAAUUUCUGUAUUUUUGUAGAGAUAAGCGUUUCACCAUGUUGCCCGGGCUGGUCUCAAACUCCUGAGAUGAAGCAAUCCUCCCACCUUGGCCUCCCAAAGUGUUGGGAUAACAGGCAUGAGCCACCAUGCCUGGCCCUAUUAUUUUUCUAAUCAGAAUAAAAGUGAUGUUUUUAUGAGCAGAAUACCCUUACUCAUUGUCUCUCUCAGCCUCUUCCACCCCCAUCACAUUCCUUGUAACACAGGGUAGGUGUCACAGGCUUUGCCUCUCAUGGCUCAGGGUUUAGGGACACUGCAUCACCCACCCCUUCAAGCACCAGCCCCAGGGCAGGGGGUGGGCCCUGAGGAAGCCAAUCAUCGUUUAGAGCAUCCCAGUGUCCUUAGUACCACAGGUCAGGUCCUCAGCUGCUGCAGCCUUACAACUAACCUCUACCCCAGGCUGGCUGGCACAGGGCUGUCGCUUGUCCUGUCUUGUCCUUCCUGCCUUAGAACCUGAACUGAGCCCAGCUGACUGUGGGAAAGUUUCCAUUUGGGCCAGCUGCAGUGUCCCUUUUCCAGGCCAGGGGAGUAGGAGGUGGGCUGCCCGUCUCAUUCUGUGAGCUGUGGAGGAGCCCACAGAGCACAGGGCCAAGUAAACCCUACCUCCAAGGAGCUCACAGUUUGGAGAGACUGACAGUGGGGGCAGAGCUUGCAGCCAAGGCCCCGGUUGCCAAACUCAGGAACUUGGACUUUACUCACAUGAAGCCAGACACACUCUCCAGUCUAAGAGUGACAAGGGUUGGAUUUCAGUUUUAGAAUAAUCACUCUGGCUGUUGCGAAAAGGAUGGGCCCAGAGGGAGGGAAGGCAGGAGGCUGGCAGAGUGCAAAGAAGAGCUGCUGUGUGCAUGGCUGGAGACUGAGAGGAACAAGGGCAAACAUUGCCCACCCCUUCCCAGAGACCCACAGUGCAAAUGGUGACUGCCCAACACCAGCACUGUGGCCCUGGGGAUGAGAGUCUGAGAUCAGGUGUGGAGAUUCAUUGCAGCCCUCAGGCCCAUGGAGGCCCAGGGGAAAUGACACAUCCAAUCCCUCCCUACCCUCUGGGUAUGCCCUGGUAUCCCUCUCCCAGCCAGUUUCCUCUGACCCAAGGUCAUCCUUGCAGCUGGUGAAGACACACAACCUGCUAACCACCAGGAACUAUAUCUUUGGAUACCACCCCCAUGGUAUCAUGGGCCUGGGUGCCUUCUGCAACUUCAGCACAGAGGCCACAGAAGUGAGCAAGAAGUUCCCAGGCAUACGGCCUUACCUGGCUACACUGGCAGGCAACUUCCGAAUGCCUGUGUUGAGGGAGUACCUGAUGUCUGGAGGUAAGAAUCCACCCCCUCUGCUCCUGCUGGGCACUGUUGUCAAGGCCUGAGCCUCUCCAUCGGGCAGGGUGACACAGGGAGCCAACACACCAUUCCUUGGUGCUGGGCCUGCAUUGGGCGAUGCAACCUGCUUCAGACAUGGUGGGUCAGGGCUGAGGAGGAGAGCUGUCCAUAUGGUCUUCAGAAUUCAACUCGGAUAACAUCUUCCCUAGGAGGCCUUCUUUGACCCCCUUUUCUGGGGACCCCCAGCCCUUGUGUUGCCUUUUGUACAACCUGAUUGUUGUCCAUGGCACUGUAAUUGUCCACCUGCCUGAGACCUCCCACCAGACUGAUGCAUUGGGAUCCCCAACACCUCGCACCGACUUGGCAGAAUUAGGGCCCAGGGAAUGUUUGCCAAAUGCAUGAGUUCCCAAAACAACCUUGUAUCAUUAGCUGCAUUUUACAGAUGAGGAAACUGAGGCUCAGAAAAAUGAAUAGCUUACACAGAACCAGACAACUCCAAAGGGGCUGGGCUAGGUCUGGGGCCCAAGUCCAGGGUUCUUUAUGUUUUAUACCUGACUGUGUGCCGGGGGUGGGGAGUGGAUCCAUGGGCAACCCUGACUGUUGCGUCCUUCCCUCCCCUCAGGUAUCUGCCCUGUCAGCCGGGACACCAUAGACUAUUUGCUUUCAAAGAAUGGGAGUGGCAAUGCUAUCAUCAUCGUGGUGGGGGGUGCGGCUGAGUCUCUGAGCUCCAUGCCUGGGAAGAAUGCAGUCACCCUGCGGAACCGCAAGGGCUUUGUGAAACUGGCCCUGCGUCAUGGAGCUGACCUGGUUCCCAUCUACUCCUUUGGAGAGAAUGAAGUGUACAAGCAGGUGAUCUUCGAGGAGGGCUCCUGGGGCCGAUGGGUCCAGAAGAAGUUCCAGAAAUACAUUGGUUUUGCCCCAUGCAUCUUCCAUGGUCGAGGCCUCUUCUCCUCCGACACCUGGGGGCUGGUGCCCUACUCCAAGCCCAUCACCACUGUUGUGGGAGAGCCCAUCACCAUCCCCAAGCUGGAGCACCCAACCCAGCAAGACAUCGACCUGUACCACACCAUGUACAUGGAGGCCCUGGUGAAGCUCUUCGACAAGCACAAGACCAAGUUCGGCCUCCCGGAGACUGAGGUCCUGGAGGUGAACUGAGCCAGCCUUUGGGGCCAACUCCCUGGAGGAACCAGCUGCAAAUCACUUUUUUGCUCUGUAAAUUUGGAAGCGUCAUGGGUGUCUGUGGGUUAUUUAAAAGAAAUUAUAACAAUUUUGCUAAACC